GGUCUCUGCCGGCGCCCGGGAGGGCGUGAUGACGUCACGACGCCCGGAUCCGCGCCCGGCCGGCGGCGGGCGGGUUGUCGCUAUAGCAAUGCGGGGGCGCCACCUGUCGCGCCCAGGGACUCGGUCCACCAGGGACUCGGCGGGAAGGGGAGGAGCCCGGGCCCCACGGAGGAGCGUCGCGGCCUGCGGGCUGGCAGAUGCGCUCGGGGAGGCGGGGUCGGAGGGGCAGCCUGUGAGGGGAGCGGUUCCCGCGGGGCCCCCUGCCCGCGCCUCGGGCUCAGCCCAGGUCGCCGCGCCUCCCGUCCGCGGGCACAGCCUGCGAGCCGAGCUCCCAGGGAAGCAGCGCGGGGACCGUGAGCUCCUUGCGGGAAAGGAGGACGACGUAAAUGCUGAGAAGCCUUGUUCACAUAGUAAUUGGGAAAGAAGAAAUAUGUUACAAUGAUACUCCUCGUGUCUGAACUACUUCCGAGUCACAUGCCAACAAUCACAGUGUCCUAUUACCAAAUACUAUUAUCAAAACCUGGUUUCUGUCCUGCAGAGCGAUAUAUAUAGUCUUUCUCAUUGGGAGUGACAGCAGCACUUUCAACACGGUAAUGCCUGCUGCUCUUCCUCACUUGCUGUGUCCACUAGCCCAGUGGUGUG
Long non-coding RNA from Myotis daubentonii (Daubenton's bat), 642 nucleotides. RefSeq lists it as uncharacterized. NCBI's taxonomy places the organism in Eukaryota, Metazoa, Chordata, Mammalia, Chiroptera, Vespertilionidae. The record is from RefSeq and is a predicted model, not a curated record.